RNAcentral lists this unclassified non-coding RNA (239 nucleotides) under fungal sp. Its description in RNAcentral is "partial internal transcribed spacer region". The stretch from base 1 to 46 matches the Rfam family "Eukaryotic small subunit ribosomal RNA", at positions 1786 to 1831 of the family's 1831-position model. The record is from RNAcentral. Lineage: Eukaryota; Fungi.
AAGUCGUAACAAGGUUUCCGUAGGUGAACCUGCGGAAGGAUCAUUACCAAAACAGGUCUUUGACCUUUACCCCUUGUGCAUUGUAAACUGUCCUUGUGAGGUUUUUCAUGAUGGCAAUUACCUGCCAACUUGUUAGCCUCACAUUUCCUUAUGCUUUACCCCAAGACCAACUUUGUGAUGGUGGAUUUUUUUUCAAAAAAAACAAAAGACAACUUUUAACGGUGGAUCUCUUGGCUCAU